GAUGAACGCUGGCGGCGUGCCUAAUACAUGCAAGUCGAGCGAACGGACGAGAAGCUUGCUCUUCUGAUGUUAGCGGCGGACGGGUGAGUAACACGUGGAUAACCUACCUAUAUGACUGGGAUAACUUCGGGAAACCGGAGCUAAUACCGGAGAAUAUUUUGAACCGCAUGGUUCAAAAGUGAAAGACGGUCUUGCUGUCACUUAUAGAUGGAUCCGCGCUGCAUUAGCUAGUUGGUAAGGUAACGGCUUACCAAGGCAACGAUGCAUAGCCGACCUGAGAGGGUGAUCGGCCACACUGGAACUGAGACACGGUCCAGACUCCUACGGGAGGCAGCAGUAGGGAAUCUUCCGCAAUGGGCGAAAGCCUGACGGAGCAACGCCGCGUGAGUGAUGAAGGUCUUCGGAUCGUAAAACUCUGUUAUUAGGGAAGAACAUAUGUGUAAGUAACUGUGCACAUCUUGACGGUACCUAAUCAGAAAGCCACGGCUAACUACGUG
This 497-nucleotide ribosomal RNA is filed under the name uncultured bacterium. Its description in RNAcentral is "partial 16S ribosomal RNA". It matches the Rfam family "Bacterial small subunit ribosomal RNA", at positions 28 to 507 of the family's 1533-position model. The record is from RNAcentral.